This 295-nucleotide unclassified non-coding RNA is filed under the name uncultured fungus. RNAcentral's name for it is "partial contains 5.8S ribosomal RNA, internal transcribed spacer 2, and large subunit ribosomal RNA". The stretch from base 1 to 52 matches the Rfam family "5.8S ribosomal RNA", at positions 103 to 154 of the family's 154-position model. The record is from RNAcentral. Lineage: Eukaryota; Fungi.
AACGCACCUUGCGCCUUUUGGUAUUCCGAAAGGCAUGCCUGUUUGAGUGUCAUGAAAUCUCAAUCCCAUCUGGUUUAUGACCGGGUGUUGGACUUGGACAUGGGUGUCUGCCGGUCAAACGGCUCGCCUCAAAUGACUUAGUGGGAUCGCUUGCAUCCGUGACAGACGUAAUAAGUUUCGUCUUGUCCCUUGCUCUGCGUACGCCUGCUCAGAACCAAGCUGUCUUGCCUUCACCGGCCUGACGCACUUUUUUGACUCUGACCUCAAAUCAGGUAGGACUACCCGCUGAACUUAA